GACGAACGCUGGCGGCGUGCUUAACACAUGCAAGUCGAACGGAAAGGCUCCAGCUUGCUGGAGUGCUCGAGUGGCGAACGGGUGAGUAACACGUGGGCAAUCUGCCCUGCACUCUGGGAUAAGCCUGGGAAACUGGGUCUAAUACCGGAUAGGACCUUUCUCCUCAUGGGGUUUGGUGGAAAGUUUUUCGGUGCAGGAUGAGCCCGCGGCCUAUCAGCUUGUUGGUGGGGUAAUGGCCUACCAAGGCGACGACGGGUAGCCGGCCUGAGAGGGUGAUCGGCCACAUUGGGACUGAGAUACGGCCCAGACUCCUACGGGAGGCAGCAGUGGGGAAUAUUGCACAAUGGGCGAAAGCCUGAUGCAGCGACGCCGCGUGAGGGAUGACGGCCUUCGGGUUGUAAACCUCCUUCAGUAGGGACGAAGCGCAAGUGACGGUACCUGCAGAAGAAGCACCGGCUAACUACGUG
RNAcentral lists this ribosomal RNA (467 nucleotides) under uncultured bacterium. RNAcentral describes it as "partial 16S ribosomal RNA". It matches the Rfam family "Bacterial small subunit ribosomal RNA", at positions 28 to 507 of the family's 1533-position model. The record is from RNAcentral.